UGUCCUCGGCCUGUUGGAAGCCGUUUUUUCGGGUUCCUUAGUAAUGGAGAUGCCCUCAUGGCACUUAACGUUGAAGAAAAAGCAAAGAUCGUUGGUGAAUUUCAGCAAGCCGCU
Regulatory RNA element from Pseudomonas sp. M47T1, 114 nucleotides. It matches the Rfam family "Ribosomal S15 leader". From Rfam's summary of the family: The E. coli Ribosomal S15 gene 5' UTR can form two alternative structures. One that is a series of three hairpins, The other includes a pseudoknot. The record is from Rfam. Lineage: Bacteria; Pseudomonadati; Pseudomonadota; Gammaproteobacteria; Pseudomonadales; Pseudomonadaceae.